RNAcentral lists this long non-coding RNA (1247 nucleotides) under Podarcis muralis (Common wall lizard). RNAcentral describes it as "lncRNA (ENSPMRG00000004851.1)". Lineage: Eukaryota; Metazoa; Chordata; Lepidosauria; Squamata; Lacertidae. The record is from RNAcentral.
UGGUGAUCCACUCAACAUCAGUGCACAACAUGUCACAUCCAGGCCAGUGUAAUAAAACCCAUUGGACUCCAGUCAAGGCUUGGCUAAGGUCAGUUGCUACUUUUUGGAACAGAGAGCAGAGCUUACACAAUACAGAAAUUAAACCAACAGACUACGGAAGAUGUCUUAAAUGAAUUUCUCAGUUUAUUGAUAUACAAAGUUUAGGAGAACGAAAUGACGUGAAGUGUACUUAUGAAUGAUACAGCAUACAUGUAGAAAAUGGAGAAAAUUCAAUAAAUAGAAAUGACAUAACUAGAAACUAUUGUUGAAUAUCAGAAUUGAUAUGGUUAAUAGGUAGUUAGGACAAAGGAAUCACACUCAAAGACCUAACUCCUCUCUCCCUCCAGCCUAUCUUGUUGUGAGAUAAAUAUAACUUCUCAAAGCAAAAAAUGAUUAAAUGAUAAAACUUUACAAACUAAGGGCAGUAGACCAGGACUCAUUGUAGUCCUUGGCAAAGCAAGGUAGCAAAACAUUUCCUCCCAUCUUACGGUUCAUGUCAACAGGACUACACAAAACCUGGGCUAAGAAUGAACACAAUCUCUUUCACAGAUGAAGAAUGAGCAACAUGGAUGAGCAAGUGUGUUUCCUUUAUGCACUUCUGGGCAUCGGGAACAUGGAAUAUUUUAAGAAUCAACUGUUCCCUUAAUUUCUGGUUGUCAGGUGCUCCUUUGUGUUCAGAUCAGACCUCAGCACAAUCAUGUAGCACUUGGGAAGGAAGAUGCAGCCCAGAAGCCCAGCACUGGAGGCCAACAUAGAGAAGAUCUGCACGGCCACCAUGUACUUGCCCUUGGUGCUCAGAAAUACCUUCCCCCUUGGAGUCACCCACCUUCCUGGGCGGAGAAGGUCCCUUCCGCACACCGAGCACAAGCAUAGCAGCAAACGGGCUUUUCUUCUAGAACCACCUUGGCAUAUCCAGGUCGACAUCUCUCUGUACACCUGGAACGAGGUACGGCCUAACCCAGGGGUCGGCAACCUGCGCCUCCGGAGCCGCAUGCGGCUCUUUAACGCCUUUGCCGCGGCUCCGGGGCGGAGGCGAGGGGAGGAGGCGCAUGUUCCGCAAAGCCAUUUCCGAGCUAGAGAGGAGAGGGGGUUGCGAGCUAACCCCUCCCACACUCCAUUCGCGGGGGCUGGCCUUUUGCCCCCGCGAGAACAGGGGAAUCCCCGGGCGUGCCUGCAACCCUGCCCGCCAAUCGGACCGCCCUCUUUGC